Molecule: ribosomal RNA, 429 nt
Filed under: Bacteroidota bacterium
Lineage: Bacteria; Pseudomonadati; Bacteroidota
Also listed under: 1 other name
Description: Bacteroidetes bacterium partial 16S ribosomal RNA
Rfam family: Bacterial small subunit ribosomal RNA
Source: RNAcentral
UAGGGAAUCUUCGGCAAUGGGGGGAACCCUGACCGAGCAACGCCGCGUGAGUGAAGAAGGUUUUCGGAUCGUAAAGCUCUGUUGUUAAGGAAGAACGAGUGUGAGAAUGGAAAGUUCAUGCUGUGACGGUACUUAACCAGAAAGGGACGGCUAACUACGUUCCAGCAGCCGCGGUAAUACGUAGGUCCCGAGCGUUGUCCGGAUUUAUUGGGCGUAAAGCGAGCGCAGGCGGUUAGAAAAGUCUGAAGUGAAAGGCAGUGGCUCAACCAUUGUAGGCUUUGGAAACUGUUUAACUUGAGUGCAGAAGGGGAGAGUGGAAUUCCAUGUGUAGCGGUGAAAUGCGUAGAUAUAUGGAGGAACACCGGUGGCGAAAGCGGCUCUCUGGUCUGUAACUGACGCUGAGGCUCGAAAGCGUGGGGAGCGAACAGG